GACGUAGGGCGCGAGCGUUGUCCGGAUUUAUUGGGCGUAAAGAGCUCGUAGGCGGCUUGUUGCGUCAGCUGUGGAAACCCGCAGCUCAACUGUGGGCUUGCAGCUGAUACGGGCAGGCUUGAGUUCGGUAGGGGAGACUGGAAUUCCUGGUGUAGCGGUGGAAUGCGCAGAUAUCAGGAGGAACACCGGUGGCGAAGGCGGCAUCCUGGACCGAUACUGACGCUGAGGAGCGAAAGCCAGGGGAGCAAACGGG
This 253-nucleotide ribosomal RNA is filed under the name uncultured bacterium. RNAcentral describes it as "partial 16S ribosomal RNA". It matches the Rfam family "Bacterial small subunit ribosomal RNA", at positions 524 to 776 of the family's 1533-position model. The record is from RNAcentral.